GAUGAACGCUAGCGGCAGGCUUAACACAUGCAAGUCGAGGGGUAACGCCACUUUCGGGUGGGCGACGACCGGCGCACGGGUGCGUAACGCGUAUGCAACCUACCUAUUACAGGGGGAUAGCCCCGAGAAAUCGGGAUUAAUACCUCAUGGUAUAUAAUUAAGGCAUCUUGAUUAUAUUAAAGAUUUAUCGGUAAUAGAUGGGCAUGCGUAACAUUAGCUAGUUGGGGAGGUAACGGCUCACCAAGGCGAUGAUGUUUAGGGGUUCUGAGAGGAAUUUCCCCCACACUGGUACUGAGACACGGACCAGACUCCUACGGGAGGCAGCAGUGAGGAAUAUUGGUCAAUGGACGGAAGUCUGAACCAGCCAUGCCGCGUGCAGGAAGACGGCCUUAUGGGUUGUAAACUGCUUUUAUACGGGAGUAAAGGUACGUACGUGUUACGUAUAAGCAAGUACCGUAUGAAUAAGCAUCGGCUAACUCCGUGCCAGCAGCCGCGGUAAUACGGAGGAUGCGAGCGUUAUCCGGAAUCAUUGGGUUUAAAGGGUUCGCAGGCGGUUUAAUAAGUCAGUGGUGAAAUACAUGGGCUCAACCCGUGGGUUGCCAUUGAUACUGUUAAGCUAGAGUAUAGUUGGCGUAGGCGGAAUAUUUCAUGUAGCGGUGAAAUGCAUAGAUAUGAAAUAGAACACCGAUCGCGCAGGCAGCUUGCGAAGCUAUAACUGACGCUCAUGAACGAAAGCGUGGGUAGCGAACAGGAUUAGAUACCCUGGUAGUCCACGCAGUAAACGAUGAUUACUCGUUGUCGGCGAUACACAGUCGGUGGCUAAGCGAAAGUGAUAAGUAAUCCACCUGGGGAGUACGAUCGCAAGGUUGAAACUCAAAGGAAUUGACGGGGGCCCGCACAAGCGGAGGAGCAUGUGGUUUAAUUCGAUGAUACGCGAGGAACCUUACCCGGGCUUAAAUGUAUGGUGCAUUUAGUGGAGACACUAAUUUCUACGGACUCCAUACAAGGUGCUGCAUGGUUGUCGUCAGCUCGUGCCGUGAGGUGUCGGGUUAAGUCCCAUAACGAGCGCAACCCUUACCAUUAGUUGCUAACAGGUCAAGCUGAGGACUCUAGUGGGACAGCCUACGCAAGUAGAGAGGAAGGGGGGGAUGACGUCAAAUCGGCACGGCCCUUACGUCCGGGGCUACACACGUGCUACAAUGGUAGGUACAGGGGGCAGCGACUAUGUGAGUAGGAGCGAAUCUCUAAAGCCUAUCUCAGUUCGGAUUGGAGUCUGUAACUCGACUCCAUGAAGUUGGAUUCGCUAGUAAUCGCGCAUCAGCCAUGGCGCGGUGAAUACGUUCCCGGGCCU
This 1351-nucleotide ribosomal RNA is filed under the name uncultured bacterium. RNAcentral's name for it is "bacterial SSU rRNA". It matches the Rfam family "Bacterial small subunit ribosomal RNA", at positions 28 to 1381 of the family's 1533-position model. The record is from RNAcentral.